Molecule: ribosomal RNA, 369 nt
Filed under: uncultured organism
Description: bacterial SSU rRNA
Rfam family: Bacterial small subunit ribosomal RNA
Source: RNAcentral
CGGAGGAUCCAAGCGUUAUCCGGAAUCAUUGGGUUUAAAGGGUCCGUAGGCGGUUUUAUAAGUCAGUGGUGAAAUCUGGUCGCUCAACGAUCAAACGGCCAUUGAUACUGUAAGACUUGAAUUACUUGGAAGUAACUAGAAUAUGUAGUGUAGCGGUGAAAUGCUUAGAGAUUACAUGGAAUACCAAUUGCGAAGGCAGGUUACUACAAGUAUAUUGACGCUGAUGGACGAAAGCGUGGGGAGCGAACAGGAUUAGAUACCCUGGUAGUCCACGCCGUAAACGAUGGAUACUAGCUGUUUGGAGCAAUCUGAGUGGCUAAGCGAAAGUGAAUAAGUAUCCCCACUGGGGAGUACGCUCGGCAAGAGUAG